RNAcentral lists this transfer RNA (87 nucleotides) under Zetaproteobacteria bacterium CG_4_9_14_3_um_filter_53_7. RNAcentral describes it as "tRNA-Leu". It matches the Rfam family "tRNA". From Rfam's summary of the family: Transfer RNA (tRNA) molecules are approximately 80 nucleotides in length. Their secondary structure includes four short double-helical elements and three loops (D, anti-codon, and T loops). The record is from RNAcentral. Lineage: Bacteria; Pseudomonadati; Pseudomonadota; Candidatius Mariprofundia.
GCCUGAGUGAUGGAACUGGUAGACGUGAUGGAUUCAAAAUCCAUUGCCCGCAAGGGCGUGCCGGUUCGACUCCGGCCUCAGGUACCA